GCUUUGUGGUUCAACUGAUUUGAAGAGCUUGCUCAGAUAUGACGAUGGACAUUGCAAAGAGUGGCGAACGGGUGAGUAACACGUGGGAAACCUACCUCUUAGCAGGGGAUAACAUUUGGAAACAGAUGCUAAUACCGUAUAACAAUGACAACCGCAUGGUUGUUAUUUAAAAGAUGGUUCUGCUAUCACUAAGAGAUGGUCCCGCGGUGCAUUAGCUAGUUGGUAAGGUAAUGGCUUACCAAGGCGAUGAUGCAUAGCCGAGUUGAGAGACUGAUCGGCCACAAUGGGACUGAGACACGGCCCAUACUCCUACGGGAGGCAGCAGUAGGGAAUCUUCCACAAUGGGCGAAAGCCUGAUGGAGCAACGCCGCGUGUGUGAUGAAGGGUUUCGGCUCGUAAAACACUGUUGUAAGAGAAGAAUGACAUUGAGAGUAACUGUUCAAUGUGUGACGGUAUCUUACCAGAAAGGAACGGCUAAAUACGUGCCAGCAGCCGCGGUAAUACGUAUGUUCCAAGCGUUAUCCGGAUUUAUUGGGCGUAAAGCGAGCGCAGACGGUUAUUUAAGUCUGAAGUGAAAGCCCUCAGCUCAACUGAGGAAUUGCUUUGGAAACUGGAUGACUUGAGUGCAGUAGAGGAAAGUGGAACUCCAUGUGUAGCGGUGAAAUGCGUAGAUAUAUGGAAGAACACCAGUGGCGAAGGCGGCUUUCUGGACUGUAACUGACGUUGAGGCUCGAAAGUGUGGGUAGCAAACAGGAUUAGAUACCCUGGUAGUCCACACCGUAAACGAUGAGUGCUAGGUGUUUGAGGGUUUCCGCCCUUAAGUGCCGCAGCUAACGCAUUAAGCACUCCGCCUGGGGAGUACGACCGCAAGGUUGAAACUCAAAGGAAUUGACGGGGACCCGCACAAGCGGUGGAGCAUGUGGUUUAAUUCGAAGCAACGCGAAGAACCUUACCAGGUCUUGACAUCCCUUGACAACUCCAGAGAUGGAGCGUUCCCUUCGGGGACAAGGUGACAGGUGGUGCAUGGUUGUCGUCAGCUCGUGUCGUGAGAUGUUGGGUUAAGUCCCGCAACGAGCGCAACCCUUAUUACUAGUUGCCAGCAUUCAGUUGGGCACUCUAGUGAGACUGCCGGUGACAAACCGGAGGAAGGUGGGGAUGACGUCAAAUCAUCAUGCCCCUUAUGACCUGGGCUACACACGUGCUACAAUGGCGUAUACAACGAGUUGCCAACCCGCGAGGGUGAGCUAAUCUCUUAAAGUACGUCUCAGUUCGGAUUGUAGGCUGCAACUCGCCUACAUGAAGUCGGAAUCGCUAGUAAUCGCGGAUCAGCACGCCGCGGUGAAUACGUUCCCGGGUCUUGUACACACCGCCCGUCACACCAUGAGAGUUUGUAACACCCAAAGCCGGUGGGGUAACCUUCGGGAGCCAGCCGUCUAAGGUGGGACAGAUGAUU
Molecule: ribosomal RNA, 1453 nt
Filed under: Weissella confusa
Lineage: Bacteria; Bacillati; Bacillota; Bacilli; Lactobacillales; Lactobacillaceae
Description: bacterial SSU rRNA
Rfam family: Bacterial small subunit ribosomal RNA
Source: RNAcentral